CCGCACUAUAAACACCACCGCGCUGAAAUUGAACAAUAGAAACUCUCCGUGAAUUUCUAAUGGUUUUAAUGCUUAUAAUGGGAAUUCUAUCGCCUUUAAUGGAAACUUUUAUGGUCCCUGAGGGUUUUUUUAUUGCCAAUUUGUUGCUUUAUGGACUAUUAUGACGUCAUUAAGCAUCCAGAUUUCAUGGCAUGAAGUCCACAUGAUCCAGAUGUUUGUGGAGUUUCUCACACCCAUCAUCUGCAUGUUCCUGAGCAUCUGGCUUACGGCAGGACGUACUCUGACCUUCUCUACUGUUACAUUUCUGUCAAUCUAAAAAUCAUCCUUGUUCCCGACAUGGAUGAACUUCUCCUUCGUCAAUGUUGCUCUUCAAAAUCCGGUUCCUCGCAUAAAAAUGUACGCUCCUCUUCUAGUAUGUAACAGCUGAAGGACAAAACAAGACUCAAGGUCAGAUUCUUUGGCUUUGUGCACAGGAGCAUUGUCACUCUGGAACAGGUUUUGGGGUCUCCUAGUUUAAGUGAAGGGAAAAUAUGAAUGCUACAGCAUCCAAAGACGUCCUUUACAAUUGUGUCUCCAUUUCUGUAGUUAGAACCACAUAUGGCUGGAAAAUUCCGGUUUCCAAAUACGUUUGUGUGAACAGUCAACCCCCGAUAAUUUGCGGUUCGGAAAUUUAGCAGGUUCUGAUCUGGAACUAACGGCGAGUUGCAGAUGAUCUUAAAAUUUGCGGAAAUCUGCAGCGCUACGGAAUAUUCAGGAACGUUAGGAAUAACAUUUUAAACUGUUUUCAGUAACAAAAUUCAUGAAAUUUUAAAUAUACAUUAUUGUAUUAAAGUGACGUAACGUAUAGAGAUUUUAGGAUCUCGCUGGGGGUCUUAGAACGAAGUUCAGUAAAAUGAAGUGAUGUUUACAUGAUUUCAGUCUUUAUGGAUGUUUAAAACGACACAAGUUGACUAAAAGUGCUUUACAAUUCAAUCAAAGUACAACCUUUAUUCUUAUAAAGUUUCAUUAUAACAAUAAACAUAACGAUACUUUGAACGUUUACUGAUUUCACUCGACUGAUAAAAAUGUUCAAAAACUAAUGUAUGGAAAGAAAUAAAAGAGACUGAAGGUGAAA
Long non-coding RNA from Silurus meridionalis, 1114 nucleotides. RefSeq lists it as uncharacterized. The transcript is spliced from 2 exons. The record is from RefSeq and is a predicted model, not a curated record. NCBI's taxonomy places the organism in Eukaryota, Metazoa, Chordata, Actinopteri, Siluriformes, Siluridae.